RNA transcript from Manacus vitellinus (golden-collared manakin), 6705 nucleotides. It is a transcript of the gene named tropomodulin-3, with no coding region annotated. The record is from RefSeq and is a predicted model, not a curated record. Lineage: Eukaryota; Metazoa; Chordata; Aves; Passeriformes; Pipridae. The transcript is spliced from 11 exons.
UAAAAACUUGUAGUUUGUUCCUCAUGUCUCUAUGCAGAACUGCUGCAGUGAGUGGUGGAAAACAAACAGAGUACCAACUGUGUUUAAUGGGUGGUGAAGGGCUUGUCUGAUUAGAUUAGGGCUUCAGCUGGCUUUUAUACCCUUUUAUGCAAUGAGAAUUCCUAACACCAUGUUUUAAAACCCGAUUUUUAGUAUGUUAUAUGCUAGUGUUUUAUAUGCUGUGAUUUCUUUUGUAGGGAAUGUUUCUGAAAGUCAUUACCCAGCAACCUCUGUGUAGUGCAGAUGUGCUAGUCAAUGCUGCCAUCAUAAAGUUUUAAAGGUUUGUCACAUUGUGUGCUUUCAUAUUAAAAAAAAACAUUACCUUUGAUAGGUAUUAAAAAAUAUGUUCAAAGCAUGCAUUUAUAUUUGGCAGGCCACAUGUAGUUCUCUUCCUCUUGGUGAAGUGAAGACUCAGCUACAGAGAGAUAGGGCUUUUUGUUCUGCUUCUUUAUUUUUCAUUUUGUGUGUGUGUGUCUGAACACUGUAGCUAAGGAUUUGAAAUGGCUACUUUGGUCUUAUUACAGAAACAAGUGAGACCAAGGGCUGUGACCUGAACAUUAAUUAAUGUAUUACAAAAGAUGAGUAGUUUUCCCAUAUGAAACAUACCAGUGCAAUAAAUAAAAGGUAAUUAAUUCUGGAUGGCAGCAUUUUACAGCAAUUAAUGGAGAGGAAAUACAGGCUACGUGAAGUAAUGUAUGGUUAUGCAGUGCUGCUCUCUGUCAGAGUAAGGGCAGCAUUAUUCUGCAGCCUACUAACCAUUCUGCUCUCUGUAAUUACCUGUUAAGACUACACCUUUUAAUAUUUGAAUGCAAAUGGACAUGCAGAAAUGUGGUAAAUAGCAAAGUCUUGAUGUAGGGCUCAGACAGUGCAGCCUGGUCACAAACAAUGCUGUGUAAUCAGCUGCAGGAAAUGUUUUCUCUUAUGAUAGUGUGUAAUGGCUUGAACUGUCAGGAAGGGCAAAACAUUAAGGCUCUAGGAAUGAAAAGUUCUCAUGCAGAUUGUGUGGCAUCUGCUGUCAUCAGCUAAUUGUCCAUCAGCUGCUGUGCACCUGGAGAAACAAAGGCAUUAGACUAUUACCACUAGACUAUGGAGAAUUGUGGGAGGUGGCUCUCUUGGCCACACAGACACUCCUGAGUUACUUUUGGAACUUAGGAAAACAUUGGUGUGCUGCUCUCUGCAUUUUCUGCAGCCACCAAACUCGGAUGCUCCUACCUCUGUAGCCUCUUGCAAAAGGUCCAGGCUCUUCCAACAUGAUUGGGUUUAGUUUGGAGGAAGCCAGACGGUGUUCUUUUUGAUGGAAUUUACUGUGAAAUUGGGAAUUCCUCCUGGUUUUUGUUAUGUUCAAGAGAACUCUGUCUAAGCUGGUAGUUCAGCUUUGGAAUUGUGUUCCAUCGAUGUCAGCUGUAGUUUACAAGUAAGCUCUAGUAUUUAUACCAGCAAUAUUUUUUAAAAAGAAGACAUACUGAAAAUAGCUGUAAAUAUAUUCCUCAUUCAGCUGUAGGUGUCGGUAGGGACUGAAAAUUUACCGUUCUGGCAAUGGCAAUUGUUCAAACUAGAUUUACUUUACAGGUACACUUGGCUGAAUGGUGUGGAUGAAGCUUUAUGUGCUCAUGUCUGUUUAGUGUCUCUGAAUUAAAAUGUCACUUUAUGUAACUGUGGCAGCCAGGGAGACCUUCCUUGGUGUAAACAACUGAAGUGAAGGAAUCCUCUAAGCAAGAUUCCAUGGUACAGUGUGUAUGUAUAUACAGUCCUUCUUUUCGUUUUACUUAAGAGACAAAAGCUACAUUGACCUGUUUUUGAAGGACAUUGUAAGUGCAGGUUUGAAGUAAUGCAGUUGUGUAUGUGGUGUGAGCAUCUGACCUGGAAUGGGGCUACUGGAGAAGAAAUAACAUUUGCUUUGUGUCUGGUCUGUGUUGAGUAUUUCUGUGGAGCCAAGAAAGCAUUUAAGGAGACUAAUGAGCCUGAAUGUAUGGAUUUAGCUUUUGCUCCCCCAAUACCUUAUGGACUCUCUUGCUUACCUACAGAGAGUCAUUCAAGUUACCUUCUUUUGUCUGUGUGCUCAGUCAACUUGAAGCAGGAGUGUGGCUGAACAAAAUGAGAAUCCUGUAACUUCUUUCAGAAAAACGAGAGGAAACAACUUGUCUGCUUCAACGCUGCUGGGAUUAACUGUUUUUUUCCAAGACAAAUGCUAAAAAAUUCUGACGUUAAAAAAAAGGUUCCUUGCACUCUGCUUGUCCAGGAGAAGUGCUGUAUAGACUGUACAUCUUUUGAAGGACCCUGAUUUUGUCCAAGUAUAAUAUUUAGAGAGCAGUUACACAGUCUGUCUUUACUUUUAAUUUUAAAAAAAAAAAAAUUUUUUUUUUUUGUAGGAUUGACUGGAGUGCUGCUGCUUAGGAGCUGUAUUUCCUGCGCUUUUCAUCAAGAUCUGGUUAAGAAUUAAGAGUUGGACUUUGAAGUAUUUGAGCAACUUGCUACGGCCCAAGUCAUGACGCUCCCAUUUCGAAAGGACUUGGACAAGUACAAAGAUCUCGAUGAGGAUGAAAUUCUUGGCAAACUUUCAGAAGAAGAACUGAAACAACUGGAAAAUGUUUUGGAUGAUCUUGAUCCUGAGAAUGCUCUCCUGCCCGCAGGCUUCCGGCAGAAGGACCAGACUGCAAAGAAGGCCUCAGGUCCCUUCGACCGGGAGCGGCUCCUGGCGUACUUGGAGAAGCAGGCGCUCGAGCACAAAGACAGGGAGGACUAUGUGCCUUUUACAAGAGAAAAGAAAGGGAAAAUAUUUAUCCCCAAGCAAAAACCUGUACAGUCUUUUGCAGAAGAAAAAUUCUCUCUUGAUCCAGAACUGGAGGAAGCCUUGACCAGUGCCACAGACACAGAAUUAGGUGACCUUGCAGCUAUACUGGGAAUGUCCAACUUGAUAACAAACAAUCAGUUCUGUGAUGUAGUAGGAAGCAGUAAUGGGAUUGACAAAGACAGCUUCUCAAAUAUAGUAAAAGGUGAAAAAAUGUUGCCUGUUUUUGAUGAACCACCAAAUCCCACAAAUGUGGAGGAGACGCUGCAAAGGAUUAAAGAUAAUGAUUCUCGUCUUGUUGAAGUUAAUUUAAAUAACAUUAAGAACAUACCAAUUCCAACGCUGAAAGAAUUUGCAAAAGCCUUAGAAACCAACACACAUGUGAAGAAUUUUAGCCUGGCAGCCACCCGAAGCAAUGAUCCUGUUGCUGUUGCUCUUGCAGAAAUGUUGAGAGUAAACACAAAAUUGAAAAGUUUAAACAUAGAAUCAAACUUCAUCACUGGAGUUGGAAUUCUGGCACUAGUUGAUGCACUGAAAGACAAUGAAACGUUGACAGAGAUCAAAAUUGAUAAUCAGAGGCAGCAGCUGGGCACACUUGCAGAAGUAGAAAUUGCCAAAAUGCUUGAAGAAAACACCAAGAUCCUCAAAUUCGGAUACCAUUUCACACAACAGGGACCUCGAGCCAGGGCAGCUGCAGCUAUCACAAAAAAUAAUGAUUUGGUCAGGAGUAUGUGAGUAAAAGUUUCUGCAAAUACCUUUUCAUCUCUCCAGCCGUGAAGCUACAGAGACAGGUCACUCUGAAUACCCAGCUGGGUAUUCAGCACUGAAACUCAGAUGUUCCAAGUCUCUCAUCUCUGUCUUUUUCGCAAGAGAAGGGUCGAAGGAGACAAUUAGCAAUCCUGCUGUCAAAACCCGGUGGAGUCAUCACGGUCAGCACCGUGGGCUUUGGCAAUCUGGGACUACAUUGACCUGGCUUAGAAGGGAAAAGACUGGAAACCCCAUUCCUUUAAAAGCAAAGCUAUAUAAUCUGCUGGUAUGCAUCACGUUUUUCAUGGAGACACAGUAACUGCACCAGUCUCUGUACCAUGGUUUUUGACUGGGUUUUUUUUUUUAAGAACUUUUUUUGUAUUUCAAGACUUCGGCUGAGCUUUCUACUUAAAAUAUAAUUGCAAAUCAAUAGUAUAAUUGUCUGUAGUCAAAGAAUGGGACAUUUAAGGUCAUUGAGAAGAUAAUGACCCAAUUAAAAUGUUUGUUAGAAAAUCCGGGGGUGCUUAUUUACGUGGAGGGGUGUGUCUAUUCCUGAAAACAAUGGGUUAGUGAUAAGGGAUUCUUCACCCAACAGCUGGACUCACUGUGUAGAGCUGUUCAGCUUUGUUCAUAUGCACUGAAGAGAAAUCUUUCACAGCAAUGUUAUUUGUAAUUCUACUGUUUUAUUUUUUAUUCGUUCUUGAUACUGUGAGUAAGUUUAAAGACAUCCCUUUAAGGCAAACCAAAAUAAAUGGGCUAAGGACUUCUCCCAAGAGAUUAGAGGGACUCAUACAAAAGACUUGCAAAAAAAAAAAAUUAGGAGCCUUGCAAAAUGACAGGUUUUUUUAUUACACCUAAAUCCUUUAAGUAUUUUUCAGAAGUGUGUCUUGCUCUGUAUCUAAACUGGAUAUAUUUUUAGACUGAUUUCAUGUGUUCAUCAACAUUAUUUAGUUUAUAUUCUUUGUUUAAAAAUCUUUAUCUACAUUCACAAGUAUCAAUUUCUCUAGAAGUAGUGGACAUGCAUAUUUUAAAUUCUGCAUAACUGUACAGGAGGAGCAACCUUAAGUGUAAAACCACUGACCUAAAUUGCUGGCAAAUGAAAAAUCCUUUAUUUGAAGCUGUUGUAUUAAGCUAUUUGUACUUCAUAUAAAUCUAUCAUUUUUUAAUACUGAAGUAACACUUUUGAGAAAGGAUUUUUCUAUUUUACUUAUGUCUCGAUGUUGGAACACUACCUAAGACAUGCAAAAAUUAAUCAAUCUGUAGUGUCAGAUCUGUAUGAUGUAGUAAUUAUUAAAGUAUUUAAAGUUGUUUAAGCGAACUAAUAAGGCAACAAGAAUCACUUCAACUUCUGCACAUAAUCACAAUACACUUCUUUGAAAUAAUAUAAAAACCUAGAGGCUUUUUGGUUAGGUCUGCUUGGACUGUCCUGUACUAGUUUGCUUUGAGGUCACAAAAAUGUUCUAAAGGACUGCUUGGCUAUAUUUAUAGCAACAGAGAAUUCAACUGACAAUUCUUUUCAUUCAGAGAUCUUAAUGUGGUGAGCUUUUAUGUAUAGAAAAUGUAUUUACGUGGAGGGGACUGAGAUGUUUGCAUCAGUUUGUAUAUACCAUAAGAACCUAACAGAGCAAGUCUCUGACACUGUGCCCACAUUGUAAUUUGCUGCAAAUCUUGUUUUGGAACUUUAAAGACAGACUUUAUUCCAGAGGUGACUUCGAAUUUUACUGCAACAGUGAAUAUUAAACUAUAGUGCCUUCAAUGAGGAUGUAUAUAAUUGGUUUAUACGUGUGGAAGAACUUUUUUUUUCCUAUUUCAAAAUCAGCCUUUUAUUAGAAUUACAAAUAAAUAUGUGCUCUUCAAAACAACUUGGAAUUAAUUCUCUUAAAACCAAAGACUAUACUUACUAUAACCUUGAAAAAACUAGGAGUGAUCUGAUGAGUAACAAAAAGGGCUUCUUUUGGGUUUAGCUUUCGUAAAUUUCUGAGAACUUUAUAGAUUUUGUAAUUUAAGUUCCUAUACAGUGUGCAUAAAGUCACAUUUAAGUGUCUUUUUUUACAGGUAGUGCUGUAUAAAGAUGGCCAAAGCAUGUCAUGUGCUGAGUUGCCUAAAGCUGUACUUUACUUUUUAUUUGCUAUGCACCAUAAUCAUUUUGUGUCAAAAAACAGGCUGUGAUGUCUUCCUUCAUUUGUUGAAGGGCUGCCAUAUUCAGAGAAUCUGUUCACGUAUUGUGAUUCUAUGAUGACUUAUUUUAUCAUUAUCUAACAAGAUUAGACAGUUAUCUCCUACUUGAAAAUUAAGGACAAAAUUGAAAGGCUGGAUUAUGGAAAUGAUAGCCCAAAUCCCUUCCUUACUUUUGUUAAAUCAAGUUCAGCUGUUUAAUUAUUUACAUCCUAAUCAAAGGCAGGGGCUUUUAAGAUGCAGGUGUCCUGUCACCGGCGAUAGUAGUGGACCUUAAUAAUUGGUUUAGCUCUGUAGACAGCAGGUAAGAAUUUGACUUUGUCAGCACUUUAAGGACAGGUAUCUGACAGACUGGGCAUAGAAAACUUUGUUGUUUUGGUAUGGUGCAUGGAACAAAUAACAACAAUCACUUUUGUGCCUGCAAUGUGUAUCCUGUUUGGAAUAAAUGAGGGAAUUCAGUCUGUAGCCAGGAAUCAUAAACGGUCUCAACAAGUCAAGUGGACGCUCUGAUGUCGUGCUGUAGGUGUGGUGAGAUCCUGUGUAUGACUUCAUUGAUUCUGAGUGAGAGAGUGGUAUUGCUUUGAUAACCACUUACCAGAGACACAAGGUCUUUUUUCUAAGAGAUGAUUUUUUUUUCAUAUGGAUUGUUUUUCAGCCUAAAUGAAGAAGUCAAAUGACUGCAUAUAUUGAUUCUGUUGGUUCCCAGCUAAGCAUGGAAACAUAGCCUAUAAUUCAAAGCAAUUAUCUAUUACUGUUGUAUUUUAAAGAAAUAGCCUCAUUCUCUCUACAGCUUGAGUAAUCUUGUGUUUGUAAGCUACAAACAAGCAAGUGUUCAAUUUAAAUUUCCAUUGAGGAAACAUGCAUUGAGUUUUUUAGCCUAUCAGCACUAUAUGCUGUCAGAUUGUAAACCAGUAAACGCUGUGGAUGAUUAAAGUACUGUAUUCUUGUUGUGGUUU